Long non-coding RNA from Syngnathoides biaculeatus (alligator pipefish), 2484 nucleotides. RefSeq lists it as uncharacterized. The record is from RefSeq and is a predicted model, not a curated record. Lineage: Eukaryota; Metazoa; Chordata; Actinopteri; Syngnathiformes; Syngnathidae. The transcript is spliced from 10 exons.
CUUUCAAAAAUGCAACACUUUAAAUUUUUUUUUGUUUUUUCUUUGUUCAAUAAAGUUUUGUUAAAAAAAAAAAAAAAGAAAAAGCAUGACCACCUGAAAGCUAUUUAAGCGCCGAUUAAUUGCUCAAAGGUCUUUUGGCCUUCAAGCUGCCGGCAUCGCGACGUCCGUCUCGCUGCUGCCCCACGGACGCGUCCACGAGAUGCACGUCGUCAAAUGGACUCAAAUGGCUCCCAUCUUAAGAAUCUUCACCCUACCAACAAGAUGAAUCACUUCUUCAAAUCAACACAAAACUGGCCAAAUGGACUGGAAAAUGGCCGUCUCGGUGCACUCUCAGACAUUUUCUACCAAACGUUCCGAAAAACUAAGAUUCAAACCCAGUGUUCCCGUCUUUGAGCCCACCUUGUUGCAGGUCUUCAAGGGAGUCCAGCGUGGUGUUGCUCUCCUCCCUGGUGCCGCUGUGAUUGGGUCCAACGAGGAGCACGGCGACUCGACUGGACCGACUUUGUCGAGAACCGUCCUCGUUCCGGGGGGGUGGGGGGCUCCGACCUGCUCUUAGAGUCGAGCGGCCCUCCCUGAAGGUGUCAGCCUUCACAAUAAAAUCCCAUCAGGGUGUCCAGCAAGGUCUGUCAUCAGUCCAGAUGCUGGUUGGAUGCGGCUCUGACUUUGCUCGGCUUCUUUUGUCGGUGGGUUCCAUCUCAGACAAAACUUGUGAUCCAAACAAUUUUGACUCUUCUUUUUGUUUUCCAGACUGGUCCACUCCACAGCAACAAAAUGGGAGUUUGUCAUCUUUGCUACCUUUCCCCCCCCUCAAUGUCGUGUCUCCUAAUUGUCAUCUUUCCAAAAACUCAACGGUACUCGCAAAACUCUUUUCCUGAUGUGCUUUGCUAACUUUGUGGCCUCUUCCUCAGGUGGAGGACCAGAUGCAGACAGAAGGUGCUGAAGCCAAACUUUGGAGGAGCCCUGGAAGACAGCGAUCGUAACACACUGGUGACGGAGGUUCCACGGCCAUGAGGGGGAAAGGCAGUGCGAAUGUGGCGGAGAACCACAUGCACAACGGUCUGAAAGCAGAAGCGCGAGGGCAGUUGGAUGACAUCUGCACUGGGUUCCUACACAGUUUCGACCCUACGCGCAUUCCAGUUGUGCCCACUUGAUUAAACGUGUUCUACUUUUGAAGGGGCUGAAGAACGUGGUCUGCUUCCAGUGAACGAGCCAGACCAAACGGCAACUCGUUUCCUCUCAGACAUAAUCUGCUACCGCCCAAAAAAAAAAACUCGCUUGUCUGUUUUCCAGGGCAGUCGCGACAGCCUGGUCCAUGCCGACAUUGAAGGUCCAAUCCACAACACCGACCUGGUUGUCGAUGGCAUUCCUGGCUUUUUUUUUUUUUUUUUUUUUAAACUUUCAAAGGGGUAAAAUGUCACCUGUAAGACAAAUGGUUAUUAAAGGUUUUGCUCAAAACUGUUCUUGAUCAAGCUCUCUGCUUACACUUCCUGAGGUGGAGAAGUGAAGGAGCGGGAGAGCAGUUUGACGGCAUUUGGACUGCGUCUGUCCACUUGGACAAAAUGCACUUUGAAAUUGUGACUAUUUUUCCAUCAAGCAUGUUUUUCUUUUUGAAGGUGCUGAAGAACUCUGUCCGCUCCCCGUGAAUGCCGCGGCACAAACGUGCGAGAGACUUCCUGUCACGGUCGUUGUCCUGGUCCUGGGGCUCUCCGUGUAACCUGUAAGAACAAAAUGGUCAUCUACUUCCAGUGUUGGUGAUCUUACAUAAAAUGUUUGCUUCUUUUCCUCCUCAGGUGCAAAACUGCCUCCAAAAGGGUCUGAAGGCGAACUUCAGGGCAGCCUGGCAAGAAAUGGGAGGGCAGGCAGUUGGAUGACAUCUGCACUGGGUUCCUACACACUUAAGACCGUACGCGCAUUCCAGUUGUGCCCAUUUGAUUAAACGUGUUCUUCUUUCCAAGGUGCUGAAGAACCCGGUCGGCUUCCGGCAGUGUGAACGGGUCGUUCCAGACAAACAGGGCCUGGUGUCUUCUUCAUUGGUGGUCUGUUUCAUCUCAAACAUAAUUUGCUACUCGCAAAAAAUAAUAAUAAUCCUCAUGGAUGUCUGUUUUCCAGGGUGGUCACCACAGCCUGGUCCGUGCUGACUUUGAAGGGUCACUCUUCUGGGGAGGAGAACAGUUUGACAUUUUUUGGACUGGGUCCAUGCGCGAUAUGCACGUUCCACUUGUGCCCGUUUUGAUUUUAAACUCGUUUUUCUUUUGAAGGUGCUGAAGAACUCUGUGAACACACAAUCCCAGACAAACGGCGUCUCGCGUCUUCAUUGGUGGUCUGUUUCAGCUCAAACAUAAUUUGCUACCCCCCCCCCAAAAAAAUGUACUUACUGUUUUCCAGGGAGGUCACUACAGCCUGGUCCACGCUGACUUUGAAGGUCCAGUCCCCAACGCAGACCUGGCUGUCUGUAUCGUCCCGGCGUUUUUUUUUUUUUAAGUC